GGGUUGUGAGGUUAAGCGACUAAGCGUACACGGUGGAUGCCCUGGCAGUCAGAGGCGAUGAAGGACGUGCUAAUCUGCGAUAAGCGCCGGUAAGGUGAUAUGAACCGUUAUAACCGGCGAUUUCCGAAUGGGGAAACCCAGUGUGAUUCGUCACACUAUCAUUAACUGAAUCCAUAGGUUAAUGAGGCGAACCGGGGGAACUGAAACAUCUAAGUACCCCGAGGAAAAGAAAUCAACCGAGAUUCCCCCAGUAGCGGCGAGCGAACGGGGAGGAGCCCAGAGCCUGAAUCAGCAUGUGUGUUAGUGGAAGCGUCUGGAAAGGCGCGCGAUACAGGGUGACAGCCCCGUACACAAAAGCGCAUGUGCUGUGAGCUCGAUGAGUAGGGCGGGACACGUGGUAUCCUGUCUGAAUAUGGGGGGACCAUCCUCCAAGGCUAAAUACUCCUGACUGACCGAUAGUGAACCAGUACCGUGAGGGAAAGGCGAAAAGAACCCCGGCGAGGGGAGUGAAAAAGAACCUGAAACCGUGUACGUACAAGCAGUGGGAGCACCCUUCGGGGUGUGACUGCGUACCUUUUGUAUAAUGGGUCAGCGACUUAUAUUCUGUAGCAAGGUUAACCGUAUAGGGGAGCCGUAGGGAAACCGAGUCUUAACCGGGCGUUAAGUUGCAGGGUAUAGACCCGAAACCCGGUGAUCUAGCCAUGGGCAGGUUGAAGGUUGGGUAACACUAACUGGAGGACCGAACCGACUAAUGUUGAAAAAUUAGCGGAUGACCUGUGGCUGGGGGUGAAAGGCCAAUCAAACCGGGAGAUAGCUGGUUCUCCCCGAAAGCUAUUUAGGUAGCGCCUCGUGAAUUCAUCUCCGGGGGUAGAGCACUGUUUCGGCUAGGGGGCCAUCCCGGCUUACCAACCCGAUGCAAACUGCGAAUACCGGAGAAUGUUAUCACGGGAGACACACGGCGGGUGCUAACGUCCGUCGUGAAGAGGGAAACAACCCAGACCGCCAGCUAAGGUCCCAAAGUCAUGGUUAAGUGGGAAACGAUGUGGGAAGGCCCAGACAGCCAGGAUGUUGGCUUAGAAGCAGCCAUCAUUUAAAGAAAGCGUAAUAGCUCACUGGUCGAGUCGGCCUGCGCGGAAGAUGUAACGGGGCUAAACCAUGCACCGAAGCUGCGGCAGCGACACUG
RNAcentral lists this ribosomal RNA (1183 nucleotides) under Salmonella enterica subsp. enterica serovar Virchow. RNAcentral's name for it is "partial 23S ribosomal RNA". It matches the Rfam family "Bacterial large subunit ribosomal RNA", at positions 1 to 1216 of the family's 2925-position model. Lineage: Bacteria; Pseudomonadati; Pseudomonadota; Gammaproteobacteria; Enterobacterales; Enterobacteriaceae. The record is from RNAcentral.